Molecule: unclassified non-coding RNA, 717 nt
Filed under: Hevea brasiliensis (rubber tree)
Lineage: Eukaryota; Viridiplantae; Streptophyta; Magnoliopsida; Malpighiales; Euphorbiaceae
Source: RNAcentral
UUCUCUACGAUAGCUUCCGCCUCCACCUGUAGACUGUACGGUGCAAAUGAACUUCUCGUACGUCUCAGCCUUUUAAAAGGGCCACAGAGAGAGCACUCAAAAAAAUCAUUCAUCUUUCUCACUUUCUUCAAACUUCAUAUCAUUCCCCUCUUCUCAUGGCUCAGAAGGCAGUGUUAAAGGUCUUGACCAUGACCGAUGAUAAGACUAAGCAGAAGGCCAUAGAAGCUGCUGCUGAUAUUUUUGGAAUUGAUUCGAUUGCCGCGGAUCUGAAGGAACAAAAGCUAACAGUGAUAGGGAUAAUGGAUCCAGUUGCAGUGGUCAAGAAGUUGAAGAAAGUAGGGAAAGUGGACAUAAUUUCAGUUGGCCCAGCCAAAGAAGAAAAGAAAGAAGAGAAAAAAGAAGAGAAGAAAGAGGAAAAGAAGGAAGAGAAGAAAGAAGAGAAGAAAGAAGAAAAGAAAGAGGAAAAGAAGUGACCCAUUUUUCACUUGCUAUAAAUUAUUCAAGUUUUUAAGAGAACUUUGUCCAUUAAAGAUCCCUUUCUUUAUUUUCACAUGGUUUUCAGGAAUCUAUGGGUACAAAUAUAUUUCAGCAAAUAGUACAAGGAGUGUUAGUUUAAGGUGAGCCUGCUUUCCUGCAUGUUUUCACAUGGUAGUAGUGCUAGCUCUCAUGGGUUUUUGUCCAUUUUCACUUUUUUUUUUUUUUGGCAAUAAACUAGCA